UACGUAGGGUGCGAGCGUUAAUCGGAAUUACUGGGCGUAAAGCGUGCGCAGGCGGUUGUGCAAGACAGAUGUGAAAUCCCCGGGCUUAACCUGGGAACUGCAUUUGUGACUGCACGGCUAGAGUACGGCAGAGGGGGAUGGAAUUCCGCGUGUAGCAGUGGAAUGCGUAGAUAUGCGGAGGAACACCGAUGGCGAAGGCAGUCCCCUGGGCCUGUACUGACGCUCAUGCACGAAAGCGUGGGGAGCAAACAGG
RNAcentral lists this ribosomal RNA (253 nucleotides) under uncultured bacterium. RNAcentral's name for it is "partial 16S ribosomal RNA". It matches the Rfam family "Bacterial small subunit ribosomal RNA", at positions 524 to 776 of the family's 1533-position model. The record is from RNAcentral.